GCUCUUAAAAGCGUCCACGUCGAGUCCUGGAAACUACAAUUACCAAGGGGCCAUAGGACCCUGGGCGGUUUCUCUUUUCCGUCGAGUGAAACGUCUGAAGUUGCUUCUGAGGGAUCACCUUGACUGGGUAAGUUGGUUGGAGAAAGUUCUCGUGGUGAACUGAGCUGGCUGCAGACUUUUUCGUACGCCAGCCCGGUUUGGGGCUCCCUUGCCUCUCGAUGCCGGGAACCGCACCUUGACCUUUAGUCUUCGUGCCCCCCCCCCCCGUUCCCUAUUCAGACACCUCUGGUUCCCCACCCACACGCUAAAUCCUCGCACUGUCAAACUCGCGCGCCCCGAAAUUGUUUCUCUCGGCGCAGCCUCGCGCUCUGUGCGCUUCGCCCCGUGGUUUUCAGGCAGGUGGGUGGGUUCCUAUUUCUUUUUCGCUUUGCCUUGAGCUUUAAGUCGGCCAGUGUGGUUCUCAUCCAGCCCAGCCUCUCCCUCUGUGACCUCCCUGGGACCCCCUUUCUUCCUCUCUAAACUGGAGGUGGCCGUCAGCCUUAGGGCGAGGUUGGGUUGUAGAGCUGGCCGGGGUGUAAGUGGAUCUGUAAACCGUCAGGUCUCCGCAAACGACAUUUAUCGCGACCUCAUCGAGGCUGCUUUUCUGGACCCAGCAAGCUUGUUGCUCAAGCGCGUCCUUUUGAACCCGAUGUCUCCAUUUAAAAGCAGGGUGAGAUUUCCUCACUUCCUCCAGAGACCGAAGGUCACACAGUGAACUUUUAGUAUCCCAGGGGCCCUUGUCUGAAAGGAAGGCUGCUAGAGAGGCGCUUAUCUUGGAUUCUGUCCUGAAAUAGCCAGUGAUGAAAGGUUCACCCAGCUGGCAGAGAGGCCGUCCCUACUCCCUAGAAGCAGGGCCCCAGCAGGAGGACAGCUGCAGCGUAAGCCCUGUCGAUGCCCUUUGAGCUCUCUGGGGCCUGAGUAGUAACUCUGGCUUUGGCAGGGUGACUGAGACCUGAGAAAUCCACUUUACUGAAGGGUAUAAUCCAGGAAAAAUGAAAGAGACCUUGGCUGGGUAUGUUGAAAGAGAGACUUACCGUUGUUAACGAGUUAGUUCCUGACAUUUUGUGAGUACUUAAAAUAUACCAGGCCCUAGGCAAUAUCAGUUUACUCAUUUAAAUUUCACUUAUGAAAUGUCCCCAUUUUACAUAUAAAACAACUUAGGCUCAGAGAGGCCAUGUAGUUAGUUAAAAUAACUGUAGGUAUAGCUACCUUCCGUGGCUCUACUGCUGUCUGAAUGUCAGGGGCUUCACAUAUAUUACUUAAUCCUCUUCAACAGGCUCAUGAGUAGUGUUAUUUCUAUCAUGUGGUUAAUUCUUAGAGGUUUAGAGUUUAAGGAACUUGCUCAAGAUCUCACAGCUGCCAGGCAUGGUGGCGCACGCUUGUAAUCUCAAGGGCUCAGGAGGCUGGGGCAGGAGGAUUACGAGUUCAAAGCCAUUCUCAGCAAUUUAGUAGGCCCUGUCUCUAAAUAAAAUAUAAAAAAGAGCUGGAGAUGUGUCUCAGUAGUUAAGCACCGCUGAGUUAAUCCCUGGUACCAAAAAAAAAAAAAAAAAAACCCUCAUAGAUAAGAACCAGAGGAAUUCAGUUACCAGAGCCUUUCUUUUCCUACUAUGCCAUAUAGUUUUAUUUUUAGAUAAAAAAAUUUAAAAAGAAUUGAGGGGUCUGGGGUUGUGGCUCAGCGACAGGGCACUUACCUAGCAUAUUUGAGGUGCUGGGUUCAACCUCAGCACCACAGAAAAAUAAAAAUAAAUAAAGGGAUUUAAAAAAAAAACAUGGAUAAAUGGUUUGGCCUACAAAGAAGUAUAAAACAGUCUUUUUAAAUUUUCUUUUAAUUUUUUAGUUAUAGUUGGACACGAUACCUUUAUUUUAUUUAUUUAUUUUUAUGUGGUGCUGAGGAUCGAACUCAGGGCGUCGCCUGUGCUAGGUGAGUGCUAUACCACUGAGCUACAACCCUAGUCCAAAACACAGUCUUUAUCCCUGGAAUAUAUCUAAAAGUUUUAACUGUGGGAAAAUUUAAAGAACAUUCAUUGAAUAAAUUAAUUAUUGAGACCAACUGUGAAAAGGGCACUACAUUAAGCCUAGUGACUGGUAGGAACUUACUUUUGGGGUGGCCAUUGGCGAUUAUACCCGGUAAAAACUUAGUCAUAAAAAUCAGGGGACAAGAAUACAGGGUACUGUCAGUGUUCAUUGCAUGCACACAGGUCUGAACAGAAAAAAGACCUCUCACUAUCUAGACCAGGUGAUUAGAAAUACCAGGAAGCUUUUAAAAACUAAUUGGGGGCCAGGCAUGGUAAUGAAUGUCUGUAAUCCCAGUGACUCAAGAGGCUGAGACAGGAGGAUCAUAAGGUCAAGGCCCUAAGCAACUCAAUGAGACCCUUCUCCCUCCCCCCCCCCCCCCAAAAAAACCCAAACUAAUUGGGGGCUAGGGUAUAGCUUAGUGGCAGAGUGCAUGCCAAGCAUGGGGGCUGUGGUUUUAUUCCUAGCACCUCAAAAAAAACCCAUAUUGACCUCUGAGAAUGGAGGCCCUAGAAUAUACUUUUUUUGCCCAGGGUUUGGGGAGGGACCCAGGGAUUGAAUCCAGGGGCAUUUAACCAGUGAACCAUAUCCUGAGCCCUUUUUAUUUAUUUAUUUUUAUUUUGAGACAGUCACUAAAUUCCUGAGCCUAGCCUUAAACUUGCAGUCCUCCUGCCUCAGCCUCCCAAAUCGCUGGGAUUACAGGUGUAGCAUGCCUGGCUAGAAUAUACAUUUUUGAAGUUGCCUGUGUGAAUGGGAUCUAGGCCAAGGAAUACCUGAGCUACAUUCCACAUGGACCACUGUUGGAGGCAGGUCACUGUUGAAAGCUGCUAGAAGAGCUGCCUAAAGCAGCCCUGUGAUUGGAUUCUAGAUAAGAGAUGGGGACUGUGCUCAGAAAUUGAGAGGAGGAAACAUUGGAAAGACUUGGGAAAUAUCCCCAGAGGACAUGGUGACCUCACUGGGCCUGGAUGGAUGGAGAGGCUCCUGGACAGGAAAAAGCCUACCAUGAACUGUUCAGGCAAGAGGAGCAAAAGAAGCAGAGACACCUGCACCGAUUUCCUUGGAAAAUUCCACAGUGUUUUUAGAAAGGACUCUGGAUGCUCUGGGUGGAUUGUCUUCAGUAAAAUUGGUCAGGUUGGGGUUUUCCAUCUCAUUCUAUCUGAGCACCAGUCAGUGUGAGCGUAGGGAAUACAGAUUCAUCUCUUCAUGAAAGCCUCACUUCUGGCCAAUGAUCUUUUUUUCUUUUUUCUUUAUUUCCAAUCAGAAUUUAAUUGAUGACCUUCUCAGAAGUUUGCCAGGGAUAUCAGAAACACCUUCUCCCCUCUGGGCCGCUGUUUCCAAAUCCACUUAUCUUGCCGCCUGUCCCACACGCUGCUCCCUGUGUAGGAUGAGACGAAAAAUCUCUUCCCAUAAGAAGCUAUUGUCAAUGAACCCUGACAUCUGACUGUCUUUGGCUCUCCCUUCUCCCUUGAUUCUCCAAACCUAUACAGUUGCCAAGUCCAUUUGGGGAGGAGGGUGGUACUGGGCAUUGAAUCUAGGGGACUCUACGACAGAGCUACAUCCCCAGCACUUUUUAUUUUUUUACUUUGACACACUGUCUUGCUAUGUUGCUGAAUCUGGCCUGGAAUUUGUGAUCCUCCUGCCUUAGCCUCCCUGCAAUAAAGAAUUUUUUCUUGGGCAGUGCUGGGGAUGAACCAGGGCCCCACAAGUGCUAGCCAAGGGCUCUACCGCUGAGUUAGCCUCCCAGCCUUUUCCAAAACCUGUUGUUUUUUCAAUCAACAGAUAUUUUCUGGAAUCUUGCUAAGAACCAGGAGUAUGCCAGGUGUUUUCAGUGCAUUAUUUCACUUUAUCUCCUAGUGUCCCUAUGAGGAUGAGAAAUGAGGCUUAUGAGAGGUCAGAUGACUUGUCCAGGGGAAGCAAGCUAGGCCGCAAUGGAGCUGCACCCCAAAAGCAGGUCUUUCAGAUGUGGUUUCUUGCGCAGCAGCCCUUGGACAUCUGCCACCUCAUUUCAGAGCAGAGUGGCACUCCUUAGUUUAGCUGCCCUUCAGCUUGCUCCUCUCCCCUUCUGUCCAUCAUUAGCCGCUCCCCGUUUCUCAUUCUUAGCACACUGCCUUUGCCCACUGUUUUCCUACUUGAACAUCAGCCUUUCCCGUUUCCCCCUGCUCCCAAGCUCAGGAAGCACUCUGUCCCCUCAGAACCCCUGUUAUCUGUCUCUUAUGACAGAACUUGGCAGUUGCUUCACUGUCAUGUGGGUGGCAUGCUUCUCGUGACCCAAUCGUGCUGUGUGUCCAUCAGCAACAAAGGCAAAAGUCAGGGCCUGAGGCUAAGAAGCUCUGGUCAACCACUGAUUACAUCAGGAGCUUAGCAUCCUUUUGAAGAGAAUUGGGUUGAUUUUCAAUAUUUUUUAAGAUGGUGUCUUCCAGUGUUGCCCAGGCUCACCUUGAACUUGUGGAAUCAAGUGGUCCUCCCAUCUCAGCCUGCCAGAGUGGGAUUCUUUUAAGAUUUGCUUCAGAGAAGCAAAAUGGAGUUAAGUCUGUGGUACAAAUAAAUGAGACUGAGAGCAUAGCUAUCUUAGUGAUAGAGUGCUUGCUUAGCCUGUGUAAGGCCCCAAGUUCCAACUCUAGCUCUGUAAAAAAAGAAAAUUGUCUCUUACCUACUAACGUUAAAUAGAAUGAUAUUAGGAUUAUUUGGGGGUGUCCAUUGGCAGUUGGAAGUUGGAGAGCAGGAGAUGUGUGUUUAAUAAUAAUUCUGCUUGUGACAUGAGCAGCUCACUUAAUCUCUUAGGAUCUUGGCUUCUUCAGUAAAGUGCCAUGUAUGUACCAGGCCAGGGAUGGGGAGAUGAUCAGGGGAGGAUUGGCAGGAGCAAUUUCUGGAGGACUUUUCUUGCCCAGGCGUGCUUGGACUUGAACUCUCUGAACCCUCUGAGAGCAUCUUGCAGGAAGCAGAGUAAUACAGUAAUUAAUAACGGGGAAUUCUUUUAGCUGCUCUUGAUUGCAAGCAAUAGGAAUCUAAAUUCUGUUGGUUUAUUAGUUGUUGUUGUUUAUUUUGCAGUGGUGGGGACCAAACUCAAGGCCUGGUGUGCGCUGUUGGGAAUGUAUUGACCCGGGUGAUCAGAAAGUCCAGGAAUGGGUCAGGUUUCAGUUAUAGUCUAAUCUUGGGACUCAUUUCCCUGUGGUUUUCUCAGCUCUGCCAUCUGUGAAUGGAGGACAUAGAGGGGCGAGGUGGCGCAACAGUGAUGCAGGUUUAUUCAUGACAAACCUGCGGAAGGGGCCCGGUGGAGACUGACACCUGUCUUCUACUCAGCCUGGGCCAGACACAGGGGCAUGAGGGAGUGGGAGAAUUUUUGCAGUUGCGCCAUUGCUAGGAGAUUGACCCAAAGGACGUCACCUCUAUUCUGUGAGGUGCUCACCAUUCCAUGUCGAAGCAGGUGUUUUCAGGGUUCCUGUCCCAGAUAACCAUGUCCUUAAUUUGUACGACAAUGAAGCCUUGUCUGGGGCUUAAGGUCAGGCUGAGUCAGAGUGACCACAAGGUGACUCUUAUUCUAAGAUAUAUUUCAAAAUGGCGUUGCUGUGUCAGGUUCUGCCUAACGCUAUCCACCAUGAUAGCUUCAUUGGCAAAGUACCUACAGCAGUUCAAGGCCAGGUGACCUGUGACAUCUACAUUUCACACUAGUGCAAAACAACAAAGAACUUUACUCCCCUCAACCAUCAAACCAAACUAGCAUUAAUAUUUUAGGUCAGCGGUGUUGUGUGUGUCUGAGUGUCCCCCAUGAGCAGGGUCAGUCGUGGCUAAGAGCUCCGUGCCUGGCCCCGGCAGACCUGUGUGUGCUCCUGAGCGAGGUAACUUGGGAAAGUUAUUCAACCUCUUAAGCCUCAGUUUUCUCAUCCAUAAAGUGGAUCUCAAUACUGCCCACCUCCAAGAGUUGUUGAGAGAAUGAAAGGAGCUCAUGGAUGUGAGGAGCUUAGCUCAGUGCCCAUAGGGAACUGCUACACCAGUAGCCUGUGGAGGGCAGGUCUGUGUCUCGGUCUCUGCCACAGUUACCCCUGCACUUGCAUACAGUAGGUGCUGCAUAAACACUUACUGGAAGUCUUCAGUUCCCACUUUCUUUCUUUUCGCAGUGCUGGGGUUGGAACCCAGGGCCUGUGCACGCCAGGCAAGUGCUGCAUCCCCAGCUCUUGGCAGGUUUGAAGAUGGAAGUUCUUUCUCCUCUUCACCACCAUCUCCUCACCUCCCCAGAAAGAAAUGCAGCCCCUCUACCUUAGCAAAUGAUUUAAUGAGUGACUGGCAGGGAGGAUGGGGAGGUGAGGGGUGAGGGGACGGAGCGGCAGUGGCACAUGACUCAUGAGCAGCAAAAAGCCAAGAGGAAACCAGCAAGAGGCUGUUCUGUGUUCCACCCUCCAGCCGUCAAGUUCAGCACCGCCCCAGUCAUAGGAUCAGUUGCCGUUGAGAUGGGGACCAGCCAGUCGGUGUGCUUCCCACCUGUCUCAGGACCCCACCUUGUAGGCUGUGGGGAUGUGAUGGAGGGUCAGAGUCUCCAGGUAGGUGUCUGCAGCUCCUCCCCUACACGUCUCCCCUGCUUUG
RNAcentral lists this long non-coding RNA (6630 nucleotides) under Marmota monax (woodchuck). The record is from RNAcentral. Lineage: Eukaryota; Metazoa; Chordata; Mammalia; Rodentia; Sciuridae.